Molecule: ribosomal RNA, 464 nt
Filed under: Vreelandella stevensii
Lineage: Bacteria; Pseudomonadati; Pseudomonadota; Gammaproteobacteria; Oceanospirillales; Halomonadaceae
Description: partial 16S ribosomal RNA
Rfam family: Bacterial small subunit ribosomal RNA
Source: RNAcentral
CCUACGGGAGGCUGCAGUGGGGAAUAUUGGACAAUGGGGGCAACCCUGAUCCAGCCAUGCCGCGUGUGUGAAGAAGGCCCUCGGGUUGUAAAGCACUUUCAGUGAGGAAGAACGCCUGGUGGUUAAUACCCAUCAGGAAAGACAUCACUCACAGAAGAAGCACCGGCUAACUCCGUGCCAGCAGCCGCGGUAAUACGGAGGGUGCGAGCGUUAAUCGGAAUUACUGGGCGUAAAGCGCGCGUAGGUGGCUUGAUAAGCCGGUUGUGAAAGCCCGGGCUCAACCUGGGAACGGCAUCCGGAACUGUCAAGCUAGAGUGCAGGAGAGGAAGGUAGAAUUCCCGGUGUAGCGGUGAAAUGCGUAGAGAUCGGGAGGAAUACCAGUGGCGAAGGCGGCCUUCUGGACUGACACUGACACUGAGGUGCGAAAGCGUGGGUAGCAAACAGGAUUAGAUACCCUAGUAGUC